RNAcentral lists this transfer RNA (65 nucleotides) under Angaracris rhodopa. Its description in RNAcentral is "tRNA-Ala". It matches the Rfam family "tRNA". Rfam says of the family: Transfer RNA (tRNA) molecules are approximately 80 nucleotides in length. Their secondary structure includes four short double-helical elements and three loops (D, anti-codon, and T loops). Further hydrogen bonds mediate the characteristic L-shaped molecular structure. tRNAs have two regions of fundamental functional importance: the anti-codon, which is responsible for specific mRNA codon recognition, and the 3' end, to which the tRNAs corresponding amino acid is attached (by aminoacyl-tRNA synthetases). tRNAs cope with the degeneracy of the genetic code in two manners: having more than one tRNA (with a specific anti-codon) for a particular amino acid; and 'wobble' base-pairing, i.e. permitting non-standard base-pairing at the 3rd anti-codon position. RNAcentral also lists the same sequence under 12 other names. The record is from RNAcentral. Lineage: Eukaryota; Metazoa; Arthropoda; Insecta; Orthoptera; Acrididae.
AGGGUUGUAGUUAAAUAUAACAUUUGGUUUGCAACCAAAAAGUAUUGAAUUGUCAAUCAACCUUA